This 422-nucleotide non-coding RNA is filed under the name Ancylostoma ceylanicum. RNAcentral describes it as "Eukaryotic large subunit ribosomal RNA". It matches the Rfam family "Eukaryotic large subunit ribosomal RNA", at positions 1490 to 1887 of the family's 3401-position model. Lineage: Eukaryota; Metazoa; Nematoda; Chromadorea; Rhabditida; Ancylostomatidae. The record is from Rfam by way of RNAcentral.
ACUGAAGUGGAGAAGGGUUCCACGUGAAUAGUAGUUGAAUGUGGGUCAGUUGCUCCUAAGAUACUGGCUUAUGCCUUGUAUCAUUGAGAGGGAAAAGUUUUCUUUUCUCUCGGAUAUCAAAAGGGAAUAGGCUCAAUAUUCCCUAACGCAGACACAGAGAUUGCGGCUCUUUGAGUCGCUUGCGCGGUAACGCAUUCAAACUUGGUUACGUCGCUCAGAGACCGAGCUAGAGUUCUGUUCUCCAGUUAAGGAACGAAAUAAUCGGUUCAGCCGUAGAUAGGGACGUUGUUUCCGUGAAGAAUCGCGGUUUCUGUGAUGUCUCGUGUUCUCUGAACGGUCCUUGAAAAAUCAAGGAAGGCUAUUAAUCUGUGCUGCAUAGUACCGAUAUCCGCAUCAGGUCUCCAAGGUGAACAGCCUCUAGU